CGGCCAUGCCCUCCUAGGGCGUUUCCUCCCACACUCCCCCGAGGCUUCGGCCUCGGGGUCUUUUGCGUCUGCU
RNAcentral lists this small RNA (73 nucleotides) under Methylosinus sp. sav-2. RNAcentral's name for it is "suhB". It matches the Rfam family "Makes More Granules Regulator RNA (mmgR)". Rfam says of the family: SuhB later renamed mmgR (makes more granules regulator) was a putative non-coding RNA found multiple times in the Agrobacterium tumefaciens genome and related alpha-proteobacteria. Other non-coding RNAs uncovered in the same analysis include: speF, ybhL, metA, and serC. The record is from RNAcentral. Lineage: Bacteria; Pseudomonadati; Pseudomonadota; Alphaproteobacteria; Hyphomicrobiales; Methylocystaceae.